Gavialis gangeticus (Gharial) is the source of this 430-nucleotide long non-coding RNA. RefSeq lists it as uncharacterized. NCBI's taxonomy places the organism in Eukaryota, Metazoa, Chordata, Crocodylia, Gavialidae. The transcript has 2 exons. The record is from RefSeq and is a predicted model, not a curated record.
CACUGAGCUUAAUCGAUAGGUAGAUGUAGUUUCUAGGUUCUUCCUACAGAAAGCCACUUCAGCUUUCUGGCUUGCUCGGAGCCUUGCCACACCCUGCCAAAACUGAGACGGAAAAGAAAUGCACAAAAUGGGGGAGGGGGGGGGGUUGGAAGGGGCGGGGGUUGCAGGCAAGAAGGGGCUUCUGUUAUAUCAAUGUCCAGAAGGGAAAUGUACAAAGGGGGCUUUCUGCUACAGGCCUACUAAGCAAAUUCUCACCCCACUUGGUGGGGUUUGUGAAUUAAUUUCUAACCAGGUAGCUUCUUCUUUGUGCACAGUAUUCUACAAACCAGAGGCCAGGAUCAGCAAAGCGCCAUACAAGUGCUCAAUAACAAGACAACAUAUCCACCAAAGUGGAUAUUAUGAGCCACUCACAGAAAUGCAACUGAAAAAG